UACGUAGGGGGCGAGCGUUGUCCGGAAUUAUUGGGCGUAAAGCGCGUGUAGGCGGUCCGGUAAGUCCGCUGUGAAAGUCGAGGGCUCAACCCUCGAAUGCCGGUGGAUACUGUCGGGCUAGAGUGCGGAAGAGGCGAGUGGAAUUCCUGGUGUAGCGGUGAAAUGCGCAGAUAUCAGGAGGAACACCUAUUGCGAAGGCAGCUCGCUGGGACGUUACUGACGCUGAGACGCGAAAGCGUGGGGAGCAAACCGG
Molecule: ribosomal RNA, 253 nt
Filed under: uncultured bacterium
Lineage: Bacteria
Description: partial 16S ribosomal RNA
Rfam family: Bacterial small subunit ribosomal RNA
Source: RNAcentral